This is an RNA transcript of Rhinopithecus roxellana (golden snub-nosed monkey), 4732 nucleotides long. It is a transcript of the gene named rabphilin 3A, with no coding region annotated. Lineage: Eukaryota; Metazoa; Chordata; Mammalia; Primates; Cercopithecidae. The record is from RefSeq and is a predicted model, not a curated record. The transcript is spliced from 23 exons.
ACACAGGGCUUUGCAGUAGUGGUGGCAGCCGCGGCAGAAACCGGCUCUGGGAAAGCAAUUGAUUCGUCUACUGCCAGCAGCCCAGAGUUGCCUACGCGGACUGGAAAGGAAGGCAGAAGGGAAAGAGAGAGAGAGAGAGAGAGAGAGAGAGAGAGAGAGAGAGGGAGAGGCUUACAGAGCGAAAACCUUCAUCCAUGUGGAGGACAGUCUGAGGGAGCCACUGUCCCUUGUCCACUGACUCACUUGCUGGUCCGAGUUUUCUCCGCUUCUGGCAGUGGCACCUCCGCUGAGCUUUUGAACCAAGUCAUUGGGACUUAGCGUCUUCCUACCCGAUAGGGAAGGGAGGAGUUGGCAAGAAUUUGGUUCACCCUUUCCCCCUGCAAUCCUCCCGCGUCGCGGAGCACUAGACGUCUACCAUGACUGACACCGUGUUCAGCAACAGUUCUAACCGUUGGAUGUACCCCAGUGACCGGCCCCUUCAAUCAAAUGAUAAAGAACAGCUCCAGGCAGGCUGGUCCGUCCACCCCAGUGGUCAGCCUGACAGGCAGAGGAAGCAGGAAGAGCUGACCGAUGAGGAGAAAGAAAUCAUCAACAGGGUGAUCGCCCGAGCUGAGAAAAUGGAAGAGAUGGAGCAGGAGCGAAUCGGGCGCCUGGUGGACCGCCUGGAAAACAUGAGGAAGAACGUGGCUGGGGAUGGGGUGAACCGCUGCAUACUGUGUGGAGAACAGCUGGGGAUGCCGGGCUCUGCCUGUGUAGUAUGUGAGGACUGUAAGAAGAAUGUCUGCACCAAGUGUGGAGUGGAGACCAACAACCGCCUGCAUUCUGUGUGGCUCUGCAAAAUCUGCAUUGAGCAGAGGGAGGUGUGGAAGCGUUCUGGAGCAUGGUUCUUCAAAGGCUUCCCCAAACAGGUCCUCCCACAGCCUAUGCCUAUAAAGAAGACCAAGCCCCAGCAGCCUGUCAGUGAGCCUGCUGCCCCUGAACAGCCUGCUCCUGAGCCCAAGCACCCGGCCCGGGCUCCAGCUCGAGGUGACAGUGAAGAUAGGAGGGGCCCAGGUCAGAAGACAGGCCCUGACCCGGCCUCUGCUCCCGGGCGAGGAAGCUAUGGGCCUCCCGUGCGCAGGGCCUCCGAGGCACGAAUGGGCUCAUCUAGCCGGGAUUCAGAGAGCUGGGACCACAGCGGAGGUGCUGGAGACUCCAGCCGGAGCCCAGCAGGUUUGAGACGGGCCAACUCAGUCCAGGCCUCCAGACCUGCCCCAGGCUCAGUGCAGAGCCCAGCACCACCUCAGCCUGGGCAGCCAGGGACCCCAGGAGGCAGCAGACCAGGUCCUGGGCCAGCAGGACGCGUUCCAGAUCAGAAGCCAGAGGUGGCUCCGAGCGACCCCGGGACCACUGCCCCACCCCGAGAGGAGAGAACAGGGGGAGUUGGGGGCUACCCAGCAGUUGGAGCCAGAGAGGACCGAAUGAGCCACCCCUCCGGGCCCUAUUCCCAAGCAUCUGCAGCUGCCCCCCAGCCUGCCGCAGCCCGCCAGCCACCGCCCCCAGAGGAGGAGGAGGAGGAAGCCAACAGCUACGAUUCGGAUGAAGCAACCACGCUGGGUGCCCUGGAAUUCAGCCUUCUCUACGACCAGGACAACAGCUCCCUGCAGUGCACCAUCAUUAAGGCCAAGGGCCUGAAGCCCAUGGAUUCAAACGGCUUGGCUGAUCCCUACGUUAAGCUGCACCUCCUGCCGGGAGCCAGCAAGUCCAACAAGCUUCGUACAAAAACUCUGCGGAAUACCCGAAACCCCGUCUGGAAUGAGACCCUCGUCUAUCACGGCAUCACCGAUGAGGACAUGCAAAGGAAGACCCUCAGGAUCUCUGUCUGUGAUGAGGACAAAUUUGGCCACAAUGAAUUUAUUGGUGAGACCAGAUUCUCCCUUAAGAAACUGAAGCCCAACCAGAGGAAGAAUUUCAACAUCUGCCUGGAGCGAGUGAUUCCUAUGAAACGCGCUGGGACCACCGGGUCAGCCCGAGGCAUGGCCCUUUAUGAGGAGGAGCAGGUGGAGCGUGUUGGUGACAUCGAGGAGCGUGGCAAGAUCCUGGUCUCUCUCAUGUACAGCACCCAGCAGGGAGGCCUCAUUGUGGGUAUCAUACGCUGUGUGCACCUGGCUGCCAUGGAUGCUAAUGGCUACUCAGACCCAUUUGUCAAGCUUUCAGGUCCUCCAAGAAGGAAACACCAAGAGAAGAUAAGGUGUGCAAGAGAUUUGUUGGGGAAAUGCCUGUAGAGGAGAUAAGGAGGAAUCCAGAGGGGAGCCAUAGAGACCACAGAUCUUGCUGCAGCUGGCUGAAACCAGACAUGGGAAAGAAGGCCAAACACAAGACUCAAAUUAAAAAGAAAACCUUGAAUCCCGAAUUCAAUGAGGAGUUUUUCUAUGACAUCAAACACAGUGACCUGGCAAAGAAGUCACUGGACAUCUCGGUCUGGGACUAUGACAUCGGCAAGUCCAAUGAUUACAUCGGAGGCUGCCAGCUGGGGAUCUCUGCUAAGGGAGAGCGCUUAAAACACUGGUACGAGUGUCUGAAAAAUAAAGACAAGAAGAUAGAGCGCUGGCACCAGCUACAGAAUGAGAACCACGUGUCAAGUGAUUAGGCUAGUGCCCAGGUCCCCAACUCCAUGUCCCGGGUCCCCCCCAGCCUGCCUCAGCUGCCCACCGCACCCUGAUCUCUCUUCUCUAUGCCUACCUCCCCCCAUACCCUGCUGAUCUCCCUGAGCCUGCCUUUGAGCCCCCGUCAUGUUGGGCACUGCUGCCAAAGACUCCCUCCUCCCUGAUGCUGGGAUGUGGGCUCUGAAUAUAGCCCUUCUCUGGUCCCUGGGAUGGAGCAAUGGGGAUGGGGUUGGGGAGAUGUUUACAAAGAGGUUGAUCAUUUAAUAACCUCUCAGUUUGGGUAAAUUACAAAGGUUCUUCAUCAUUUAGAACUGUUUUUAGACCCUCCUAGCCUUGAACACACACACACACACACAUACACGCACACACACACACACACACACACCCUCCCUUUCAUUCCCUGUGUCGUGUCUCCGUAUACUCUCAGUUGUCAGCAGACCCGGACAAUGCUGUGAGGACAAGCACUGGGGCAGAAAUAGAGGCUCCAGGCUCCCACUGCCCCCUGAGAUGCACACCCUGAUUGCCAGGAAAACAGACUGCUGUGUUCGGGAACACACCCUCCCUGCUCCAAGUGCACCAAGAUGCAAAUGCACAGAAUUCACCAAGGGGCUUGGACGCUCUCCUCUUUCCGAAUGUCACCUGUGUGCUUCCUAGCAAAACAAAAACAAACGACAACAAAAAACCCUUCCUCUGUUGCCUUUUCUCCUCCUCCCUCUUCUUUCCCUUUCAUCAUAGUAGAUUCUCUCUUUCUCAGCCUCUCCCUUCUCCUUUCUCUCCCUGCCUUUCUCCCCUUUGCCUUUCUCUCUCUCUAAAGCAGUAACACCGCAAAAACAGCAGCAAAAAAGUGUAUGUUAACCCAGCCUCACCUCCUUCCUCUCACCAGCCUGACCAGGAAACUGAGAAACUGGCCCAAAUCUGAGAUUUCACUUGGGCCCACACUUCUUAAGUGACCCACUUCUCCUGUUGGCAGAGCCAGACAUUCCCAGGGCUCGGGCCAGUGGCUGGCACUGCCCUGGGUGCGUGGCAGCAUCCCUCGAGCUGUGUAGAUGCCCCAUAGACGGGCUCUCCAUGGGCUCCCUGGGUGGGCACAGAAGGCAUUUAGAAGACCAGGGCUAUGGGUCUGAGGGAGCCUCAUCCAAAGCCUCCAGCCUUUCUCUGCUCUUAGGUAAAUGAACAGGCUACCCUCCUCCCCAGUGCCCUUUGACUCUGUUUCAUUGACUCUCUUGUAUCCCGUCUCUCACUCAGAACCACCCCCCUCAGUCUCUCUGUCUCUCUCUGUCUGUCUCUCUGUGUCCCUCACUCUCUUUACUAAGCUUCCUGGGAGAAUCAAAUAACAUCAUGGUUAUGGAACAAUGGAGAGAGACAGUCCUGAUGCCAAAGGCUUUGGGCUCAUCAUCAAUCUUUCACUUUCUUCCUAUAAAAAAAAGUAUUUUUAAAAGGAGGAAAAUGCAAUGUGGGCAAACAUUACACACUUGAGGUUGAGGUCAGGCAAUCUUCGGUGCCCAGAGAGAAAGGUUUGAUUUUCCCAAUUUCAAUGAGGUUUUCCCUCAUGAAAAGCACCCCCAGUCAUCCCAGACCCCUGACAUUCUCUACAGAAGCAUCAGACAGACACUGAAACUCUCACUUUCCCCCAAAUCACCUCUCUUAACUUUUCAACGCCCUCCACCCUCAGCUCCCUACACAAUUCAUGGGAGGACUCAUUUCUUGCCUUGAAUAACCAUUUUCUAGACAUCGAGCUCUUUACCUUCCCCAAAGUGGCCAACAGCUUCCUGGCCACCACCUUUCCUUUUGACCCUAUCUUUCCCCAUUAGUCCCUGGUGGCACCUACUCUCAGCCCACCUCCCUUCCCCUGUUUCCCCUUAGGAGACAGCAUGCUGGCUGUGUCGCCCAAGCCUGAUGCUGGUGUAGGCGCUGGAAUCAGCAUGCAGCAAGCUCACAGUGCCCCUAGUCUGGGGACACGCUCUUCCUGACAAAUGUAACCACCUCCCUGCCUAGAAUACACACAUGUCCUCUGGUGCAUGCACAACCACCCAGCAUCUUUCUUUGUGAUGAUGUAGCCAAAAAUAAAGUAGGAACAUCCAGGAAAA